UAACCGGUUGAACAACUGAACCC
Molecule: microRNA, 23 nt
Filed under: Dasypus novemcinctus (nine-banded armadillo)
Lineage: Eukaryota; Metazoa; Chordata; Mammalia; Cingulata; Dasypodidae
Also listed under: 3 other names
Description: dno-miR-582-3p
Gene: dno-miR-582-3p
Source: miRBase by way of RNAcentral